GCCGACCUUGAACUCUUCAGUCUUCACUCUCGUUCUACACUUCUACUCUCAGUCUCGUUCCAUCGCAACUUCCUGUUCAAUCAUUGGCCUUACCUGCUCAAUCGAUGGUUCAAUCUACAAAGACAACUCUAUAUUUAUCUUUAAGGCUUGCUCGAUUCUUCACAUCUCUUCCUUCUGACACAUCCAUGGCAUCCGACAAGUCAACACCGCCUCUUACUGUCGAUUCCCUCAACCCAAAGGUCAUUUCAUUGCUUCUCAUUUAUGUUUUUCACUUUGUUCAUCGCUUGAUCUUGUUUGUUUUAGUUCGAUUACUUGAGCUUUAUGCAAUUUAAAUCUUAACGCCUUAAUCGGAGUUCGGUACAAGAUAACUGUUUAAUUUUUAUUUUUGAUUUCGAAGAUUAAUCCAGGGGUUUUAAGUUCAAGUCGAUUUAGUCCCUUUUACUGUUUCUAUAACACCAAAAAGGAAAGGUUAGCUAGAAUGUCCUUUGUACUAUUUUUUCCCCUUUAUUUCCAGGUCUUGAAAUGUGAGUAUGCUGUAUGUGGUGAAAUUGUCUCUCUGGCUCAGGUAAUGUAAUGAACUGGAUUCACUAAAAACCGUAUUAAAUAAGCAUGUCAGGGAUGUAUAUAUCGGGGAAAUCAUUAAUAAUGAGUAUAUUUAUAGAAAAAUUUCCAUCUUUUUAAUCAAUAUAUGCAUUCAAGUAUACUAAUUUGCAUAUAUUAAACUUACAGUGCUGAUUCCAUAGAAUGAGCAUGGCGGUUUCUUGAUUAAAUUCUUGGUAGAGCUAAUGGUUCAUAUAGUCACAGGGGUUCCUUAUUAUCUUGAUGAAGCAACAUGGUGGGGAGUUGAGGUCUUUGAACUGAAGAAGCAACUGGAAACUGCUAGACAAAAGGGUAUUACUGUUAGAGCCCUUUUUUUCAUUAAUCCAGGAAACCCAAAUGCCCAGGUUCUUACUGAAGAGAACCAACGAGACAUUGUUGAGUUCUGCAAGAAAGAAGGUCGUGUUCUUCUAGUUGAUGAGAUAAAUAAUGUUACAAGAAUCCCCCCGGACUUUUAUUGGAAUUUUAGUAAAAGCAUGAUUAAGUAGGGUGACAUUCACCAUUCAUGUACAUUUUGCAGGUUUAUCAGGAAAACAUUUAUGUCCCUGAAAAGCAGUUUCGCUCUUUUAAGAAAGUUGCUUGUUCAAUGGGAUAUGGUGACAAGGAUAUUCCCUGGGUUUAUUUUCAGUCAAUGUCUAAAGGUAUUAUCUUUUAGUGAAUAUGAAAUAGUAUUGAUGAUAUGAAGAGAGGGGUGCAAAGACAUUGGAAGAUGCACUGAAUGGCUUAGAGGGUGUUACCUGCAACAAAGCAGAAGGUGCAAUGUAUCUUUUCCCACAAGUUAAGAUGCCAAAUAAGACCAUAAAAGAGGUAGGGAAAGCUAAAAAAGCUCUGGAUGCAUAUUAUGCAGUUCGCCUUAAGGGUUUUGUAAUUGGCAUCAGGGUAUGAAGGGAUUGCGCGACACCAUUGCUGCUGUUUUGUGUUGUUUUGCUGUUUUGAGACUAUUUAUGUUUUGUUGUUGUGUAGUUUGUUGUUGACUUGUUAAAUUCCACUUGUUGCUGUUUUAAGAUCAAGUUUUUUUUAA
Lactuca sativa (garden lettuce) is the source of this 1618-nucleotide non-coding RNA. The record is from RefSeq and is a predicted model, not a curated record. NCBI's taxonomy places the organism in Eukaryota, Viridiplantae, Streptophyta, Magnoliopsida, Asterales, Asteraceae.